GGAAAGCUCGGAAUUUAGAUAAACCGCCUAGGACGCAAGCGUCCAUUGUUGGUUUUCUAAAAUUCAGUCGCUUUCU
Molecule: non-coding RNA, 76 nt
Filed under: Streptococcus pyogenes MGAS8232
Lineage: Bacteria; Bacillati; Bacillota; Bacilli; Lactobacillales; Streptococcaceae
Source: RNAcentral